Molecule: microRNA precursor, 53 nt
Filed under: Canis lupus familiaris (dog)
Lineage: Eukaryota; Metazoa; Chordata; Mammalia; Carnivora; Canidae
Description: miRNA (ENSCAFG00845015537.1)
Source: RNAcentral
UAAAACCUUCAGAAGGAAAGGAGAAUGUUUUGUGAACCAUCUUUUUUUGUGUG